RNAcentral lists this ribosomal RNA (468 nucleotides) under uncultured bacterium. RNAcentral's name for it is "partial 16S ribosomal RNA". It matches the Rfam family "Bacterial small subunit ribosomal RNA", at positions 28 to 507 of the family's 1533-position model. The record is from RNAcentral.
GACGAACGCUGGCGGCGUGCUUAACACAUGCAAGUCGAACGGAAAGGCCCUGCUUUUGUGGGGUGCUCGAGUGGCGAACGGGUGAGUAACACGUGAGUAACCUGCCCUUGACUUUGGGAUAACUUCAGGAAACUGGGGCUAAUACCGGAUAGGAGCUCCUGCUGCAUGGUGGGGGUUGGAAAGUUUCGGCGGUUGGGGAUGGACUCGCGGCUUAUCAGCUUGUUGGUGGGGUAGUGGCUUACCAAGGCUUUGACGGGUAGCCGGCCUGAGAGGGUGACCGGCCACAUUGGGACUGAGAUUCGGCCCAGACUCCUACGGGAGGCAGCAGUGGGGAAUAUUGCACAAUGGGCGGAAGCCUGAUGCAGCAACGCCGCGUGCGGGAUAACGGCCUUCGGGUUGUAAACCGCUUUCGCCUGUGACGAAGCGUGAGUGACGGUAAUGGGUAAAGAAGCACCGGCUAACUACGUG